CAUAUUGACUUGCGAAAGCCCAAUGUUAAAUUUUCAGAAAAUUUGCAAGUCAGUUGUUAAAAUUUUGGUAGCUGGAAAUCUGCCAGUCUGCCACAGUGAGAGUAUUUACACCAUGGAAAUUGGCAAAUGCUACAAAUCCCGUUUCCUCAACCACAGAGCUGGUUUUAAGCAUUUAGAAUUACUUAAGAGUUUUCUUUACUCCUUCAGUUACCUAGUUAAUAACUUGACAUCUAGUUAAGAAUACCUUAUAGUCAAUAUUUAGUUAGUUGAAUAUUUUCUUUAUUCAAUUAGUGUGGUUUCUGUAUCCUGAGUGGACCCUGAGUGAUACAUAACCUGCAGAGUUGUGCCUCUGUCAACCCCAUGGAAACUGGACACUCUGGAUAAAACCCAGAACCUAUUUUCAGAGCAGAAGGAAGGGCAGUGAGAACAGAAGCACCAGCUACUCUUACCAAGCUCCUCUCUGUGCUGAACAUCCAUCUAGGCUCCUGGAACACAGCAAUAAACAGUAUGAUGUCCCUGACCUUGGAAUUUUACAUUCUAGCAGCAACACAAAGAACUGUGGUAAAGAGAUGGCAUUUGGGCUGAGCAUUAAAGGAUGAAUACACUAGAGAGAAGAGGAACAAAAUGCCUGCAGUAAUGUCCAAACUCAGGAGUGGAAUUUAGUGUUUAUACAAUUUUGGGGUCCCUCUUUAAGAAAAACAGCACAAGAUAAUCAGUACAAAAAUUGAGAACAAAAGUAAACAU
This is a long non-coding RNA of Suricata suricatta (meerkat), 744 nucleotides long. RefSeq lists it as uncharacterized. NCBI's taxonomy places the organism in Eukaryota, Metazoa, Chordata, Mammalia, Carnivora, Herpestidae. The record is from RefSeq and is a predicted model, not a curated record. The transcript is spliced from 3 exons.